UGGGGAAUCUUGCGCAAUGGGCGAAAGCCUGACGCAGCGACGCCGCGUGCGGGAAGAAGGCCUUCGGGUUGUAAACCGCUUUCAGGAGGGACGAAGCUACUCGGGUUUAAUAGCCCAGAGGGUGACGGUACCUUCAGAAGAAGCCCCGGCUAACUACGUGCCAGCAGCCGCGGUAAUACGUAGGGGGCAAGCGUUGUCCGGAUUUAUUGGGCGUAAAGCGCGUGUAGGCGGCCAGAUAGGUCUGAUGUGAAAACUGGAGGCUCAACCUCCAGCUGUCAUCAGAAACCAUUUGGCUAGAGUCCGGAAGAGGAGAGUGGAAUUCCUGGUGUAGCGGUGAAAUGCGCAGAUAUCAGGAAGAACACCUAUGGCAAGGCAGCUCUCUGGGACGUACUGACGCUGAGA
This 402-nucleotide ribosomal RNA is filed under the name uncultured bacterium. RNAcentral's name for it is "bacterial SSU rRNA". It matches the Rfam family "Bacterial small subunit ribosomal RNA", at positions 355 to 751 of the family's 1533-position model. The record is from RNAcentral.